CGUAUGUCUUGGGUGCGGCCCUAAAAAGAAAAAUAAAAUAAAAUAAAAUCAGUUAAAUAAUGUGUUAGCAGUACUCCACAGGCAGCUCCCUCCACUUGCUUGUCCAGCAGUGCAGAGAUAGCUGGCUCUGCCCCUGGCAGCCAGUGCAGGGAGGUCAGGGGCUCAGAGACGUCUACAAAACACACAGGCGGGAAAAAGGAGGACGUGUGUGACCUGUUCUUCGCAAAUGAAGCAGGGACCCUGGAGCCCCACAGCUCAGUCACCACCCAAGACUUGCCCCCUCAGGUCCCUGGGAGCGAUUUCUGGACUAGAAACCCGUGUCCCCAGGGCACUGUCUUUUACCAGCUUGUCACAGCAGUUCUGGGGAAGCCACAGCUAAGAGACCCUAAAGCAGGCCCCUCUGAGCCUCCUGAUGCUGGAGCAAUAAAGGUGCUUUCACAUCGGCUGCCAAUAGGGGACGGAGCUGCCGGCCAGGCUUCAGCUUGAGUUCUGCUUCUUUGCGGGGGCCCAGGGCCAGCCCCCCCCCACCGCCCACCCCGUGCGGUGUAGGGGAAGGGCCCCAGCACCACGCGGCUCAUCAGCAGCAGCAGAGUGGCGACGAGGAAGGACAGGAGGUCCCACAGCAGCGCGGAGAGCCAGAAUGUAGCCACGUACAGGCCACCGAUGAACCGGACCUGCUGGAGGCGCCUCUCUUUGACCGUCAAGAUGGAAACAGAGCUGGACAGGAAAGCCAUUCCAAAGAGCAAGCUGAGGACGAGGACAUGUCCUUUAGGGCCCCUGCAAAAGGGCCGGCGCCGCGGCGGGGGGAGCGGUCCGCCUGGUGGUUGAACAGCUCCGUCGCGGUCGAUCGCGGGCUCCCCCACGUCUUCGAAGGAAGCUGCCGCUGAGUAGUUCUGGUCGAAGACCUCAGGCUCCUCCUCUGACUUCUUCAGAAGGAAUCCUUCCCGAGAACCUGGAAGGCACAGGCCGCCCGGGCGCCCCACCCCGCCCGGCGGCCCGCCUUUGGUAUCCCCCAGACCCCUGCUCCUCCUGGGCAUCCGUCGCCUCACCCACCGCCACCCACGCCCGGAGGUGGGCGCCUCCUGACCUGGCCGUGCCCUCAGGUCCACCCACACUGCCGCCUCCUGCCCGAGCCUGAGGGCCCUGUGGCCUCAAGCACGUUUUCCUUUCAUUGCCUGAAGCAGCAGAAAACGAAGCCUCGCCAUCUUUUGAGUGUCCUUGGGUUGCUGUCUACGCCCCUCCUGUUCAGGGUCAAAGCCCUGCCACCUCUGCCCGGCCUGGGCGGCUUCAUGGAGCUCCGGCCUCCCCUCUGGCCCCUCGGGGCUUGUGUGAGGCCACGUCCCAUCAUUUCGCACCCUACCCCGCAACUCCAACUGCCUCCCUCUGCGCUCGGAUAGAGCCGGCUCCUUCCCGCGGCCUUCAGCGUCCGACUGCUGUGCAAGCUCAGCUUCCCGUGUGCAAGCUCUAGCCAGGCCUGAAGACUCGCUGCUCCCACGCUCAGCAAGGCUCUUCUUGUGGUUUGGGAUUGUCCUGGAGUUGCACUCCCCUGCUGUGGGUCACUUGCUAUUCCUACCUUAGGCUCUGAACUCUGGGGCAUCCUCUGGUGCCCCAAGGCUAAGUUAUGUCUGUGUGACCACCAUUCAUUGUUCCUGCGCAGUGUAACUACUGUCAGGCAGCCAUAUGCUCUCGGGCUAGGAGGUCCCUAAGGCCUGGUAGCAUUAUUGUUCAACUCCUCACUGCCAGCAAACAGUGCCAAGUAAAAUAUAUGACCCACCUAGAACUCUGGAAUUUUUAGCUCUGGAAGGGGCCUUCAAUCAGCACCACCACCACCGCCGCAGGGGUGCCAUCAGUGAACUGUACCAUCGGCUGAAAGUUACUGAGUGUUACACUGAGCGAAGGCCUUGACAGGCACUCCCUCGUGGGAUCCUCCAGUGACGACGGGGGCAAGGGGUGUUAUUCUCUCCAUUUUGCAAAUGAGGAAACCAAGGCUUGCAAAGGUUGGCCACUACAGUCCCAACCCGUUUGCUAGCCCGUAGUCUGCAUUUGAUCUCUUUACUUAAAAAAAAAAAAGUCCUUAACAAUUUUAAGUAAAAAUAAUACAUGAAUAUAAUUUAAAAAACCAAAUAAUUAUACAGAACUCAUAAUGAGAAAUGGCAGUGCCGAGGCCUGCCCUUCACGCUCCCUGGUACCUGCUCACCAGAGGCAACCCCUCUGAGAUGUUUUAGCUGGUGUUUCUCCAGCCUGCUGAGUGCUCCAUGUCUCUACCGACAUCCUCCCACAGCAGCGAAGACGGUUCUCUCAUGACUCCCUUCACCCCCAUGGCCUCCCCCCUCCCCGAGUUGUGUCAUAAAUUUGGUUUAAUCAAUAGGCGGUUUUGACGGUACUACGAAAAGUAAAAUUUAUCCCCAGCUGAACCAACUGGUAUACCACGACAUGUUUCUUUUUUGUACACCUUUCCACCUCUGAAGUGAACAACUGGCUCCUUUUCUCAUUUGCUUCGUUUUCUUUGCAUCAGUCACCACGUCCACACGCUCCCUUGAUAGAAGUGUAAACCUCCUCUCCAUACAGUCAAACAUACGAGACAACUUACCAGUUUCAUUUUUGGACAUGCUUUAGCCCCCAGAAAGACACAACUUGGCCUCAAUUCCACGAAGUCCACUCUUGCUGCCAUUUGGGUUUUGAAAGACGUUUUUCUGAGAUGUCAGGGAGCAUCACGUGGCUGCACCACGAGGAGUGCCUCCUGCCCCGUUCUCCUGGGCCUGGUACGUACUUCGCAGCUUCGGAGGAAUCUGCUUCUCAGCCUUAAGCAUGUCUGCAAAAUGUCCUGAAAGCUCAGGACCCAACCUGGAAUUCGGAGAAAUAAAGAGGGGAACCACAGUUUGACUAUAUGGUCUCAGGCUCAGCUCCCAUGGGACACGUCCCACGUCCGCGGUGAAGGUGAGGAACGAGAAGCUGAUUAUAAUGAUCACCAGAGGCGCCAGGAUCUGAAUCGACAGCGUCGUCGUCCAAGAAAAAGUAGCCCUUUUCAAGAACAUGGCGUAGAGCUGCUGGCAGAGAAGACCGAACUGCCGUAGAAAGAAAAGAGGACAACCCUUACCCUGGUCGUAGGUGGAAGCUGGCUUCUGUCCAGCUGCAUAUUCUCUCUCGGAGUAUGUCUGACAUUUUGAUAUGGUCAAAAUUGCUUCAGAUUAAAAGUCUCUGACCCAAUUAUUUGAUUCACAUUUAAUGGCAGAAGGAGGCACAGAUUGGAAGGAGCCUGGAAGAAUGAGCCUAAACAGACACCAAAUGUAAACACAAUGCAAUUGCUUUUUACCUGCCAGACUGGCAAAAAAUUAAGUCGGUGAAGGUAGAGGAGAAAUGCCAUGGCUGGCACUUUAAGCUGGUACAGCUGUUUUGGAAAACGAAUUAGCUGAAUCAAUAAAAUUAGAUAUGUACGUGGCCUUUAACCUAGAAAUUUCACUUUCAGGAAAGUACCCUUUAGACCACAUGUAUGGGCAACGCAGGACAUGCACAAACGUGUCCCUGAGGCAGUGACAGUGACAGUCAGCAUGUGUGGUGUACCCAGAGAUCCCAAGUGCCAGUGCUGGGCCUAGAGGCAGGGACUACGCUGUCGCUCAGCCUUUCUGUGGCACCGCACUAGCUGGGAUGGGCAGGGGGCCUUCAAGCCUCAGGUGCCAGUGUUCCUUGUUCCCCAAACACCCAAAAAUCCAUGAAAGUCUCUAGCAAGCACCCCCCCCCAAGUUUCCCCCGGUUGACGUGAUGGAGGCUCCAUUCCCCGCAAGCACUCAACAGAAGGCCCUGCCAUCGACCUGUCUGAGGGGGUGCUCUGAGAAAUACCUCCUGGGAAGUUUCCAGGGCUCUUUCCACAAGCAAAGCUAGGCCUGAGAGAUCCAUCCUGGAGGUUGGAGGAGAGCCUGCUACACAAGACAGGGGCCGGCCUAGGUGACCGCAAGACUCUUUCCAACUCAGAGGCUCCAUGGAUGGCAGCUUCCCCCCCAUGUGGGAUUCAAGACUAUAAAACAGUGAGAUUAAUCUCUUUCCUGACCCACAAACACCAGUCUCUAUUAUUUUGCAGCAUACCUCAGAGAUAGCUCCAUCAAGACUACUAUACAAAAUGCACAUCAGUAUUCUUUUUCAGCAUUAAAAGAAUGUUACAGGUUGUCCGCGUAUUUCAUAAGGAUAUGGUUUUGAAAAUUUAAAUUCCAGGUGGAUGAUUAAAAAAAAAAUAAAGAUUAAACAUGCUUUC
Sus scrofa (pig) is the source of this 4246-nucleotide non-coding RNA. NCBI's taxonomy places the organism in Eukaryota, Metazoa, Chordata, Mammalia, Artiodactyla, Suidae. The record is from RefSeq and is a predicted model, not a curated record.